Molecule: ribosomal RNA, 473 nt
Filed under: uncultured bacterium
Lineage: Bacteria
Description: partial 16S ribosomal RNA
Rfam family: Bacterial small subunit ribosomal RNA
Source: RNAcentral
UGGGGAAUUUUGGACAAUGGGCGAAAGCCUGAUCCAGCAAUGCCGCGUGUGUGAAGAAGGCCUUCGGGUUGUAAAGCACUUUUGUCCGGAAAGAAAUCCUUGGCUCUAAUACAGUCGGGGGAUGACAGGUACCGGAAGAAUAAGCACCGGCUAACUACGUGCCAGCAGCCGCGGUAAUACGUAGGGUGCAAGCGUUAAUCGGAAUUACUGGGCGUAAAGCGUGCGCAGGCGGUUUGCUAAAGACCGAUGUGAAAUCCCCGGGCUCAACCUGGGAACUGCAUUGGUGACUGGCAGGCUAAGAGUAUGGCAGAGGGGGGUAGAAUUCCACGUGUAGCAGUGAAAUGCGUAGAGAUGGUGGAGGAAUACCGAUGGCGAAGGAGCCCCCCUUGGGCCAAAUACUGACGCUCAUGCACGAAAGCGUGGGGAGCAAACAGGAUUAGAUACCCUGGUAGUCCACGCCCUAAAACGAUGUC